UCUGACGGAGCAACGCCGCGUGAGUGAUGAAGGUUUUCGGAUCGUAAAGCUCUGUUGUUAGGGAAGAACAAGUGCGAGAGUAACUGCUCGCACCUUGACGGUACCUAACCAGAAAGCCACGGCUAACUACGUGCCAGCAGCCGCGGUAAUACGUAGGUGGCAAGCGUUGUCCGGAAUUAUUGGGCGUAAAGGGCUCGCAGGCGGUUUCUUAAGUCUGAUGUGAAAGCCCCCGGCUCAACCGGGGAGGGUCAUUGGAAACUGGGAAACUUGAGUGCAGAAGAGGAGAGUGGAAUUCCACGUGUAGCGGUGAAAUGCGUAGAGAUGUGGAGGAACACCAGUGGCGAAGGCGACUCUCUGGUCUGUAACUGACGCUG
Molecule: ribosomal RNA, 374 nt
Filed under: Bacillus pumilus
Lineage: Bacteria; Bacillati; Bacillota; Bacilli; Caryophanales; Bacillaceae
Also listed under: 2 other names
Description: bacterial SSU rRNA
Rfam family: Bacterial small subunit ribosomal RNA
Source: RNAcentral